CGCUAUAUGCUCAAGUAAAAGAUUAAGCCAUGCAUGUUGGUUCAUCGUAAGAGAAACUGCGAACGGCUCAUUAGAGCAGAUAUCACUUCCUUCGGCGAUAUCUUAUGGAUAACUGCGGAAAUACUGGAGCUAAUACAUGCAACUAAGCCCUGACGCAAGGAGGGGUGCAAUUAUUAGAACAGACCAACCGUCCUCGGACGUUGACUGUUGACUCUGAAUAAAGCAGUGUAUCGUCGGAGCAAUCCGACGAAGGCCGAAACGAGUGUCUGCCCUAUCAACUAGAUGGUAGUCUAUUAGUCUACCAUGGUUAUCACGGGUAACGGAGAAUAAGGGUUCGACUCCGGAGAGGGAGCCUUAGAAACGGCUACCACAUCCAAGGAAGGCAGCAGGCGCGAAACUUAUCCACUGUUGACAAUGAGAUAGUGACUAAAAAUAAAAAGACCCCUCCUUUGGAGGGGUUAUUUCAAUGAGUUGAAUACAAAUGAUUCUUCGAGGACCCAGGAGAGGGCAAGUCUGGUGCCAGCAGCCGCGGUAAUUCCAGCUCUCCUAGUGUAAAUCGUCAUUGCUGCGGUUAAAAAGCUCGUAGUUGGAUCUAGGUCGCGUGUCGGGGUUCGUUUUCGUACGUUAAUCUCGGCUGCGACUUUCUGCUGGUUUUCCACGGUUCGCGCCGUGGUGGCCAGCGAGUUUACUUUGAAUAAAUUAGAGUGCUCAAAACAGGCGUUGGCUUGCAUAUUCGAUCAUGGAAUAAUGGAAUAGGACUUCGGUUCUUUUUGUUGGUUCUAGAACUGAUGUAAUGGUUAAGAGGGACAAGUCGGGGGCAUUCGUAUCAUUGCGCGAGAGGUGAAAUUCGUGGACCGCAGUGGGACGCCCAAAAGCGAAAGCAUUUGCCAAGAAUGUCUUCAUUAAUCAAGAACGAAAGUCAGAGGUUCGAAGGCGAUUAGAUACCGCCCUAGUUCUGACCGUAAACUAUGCCAUCUAGCGAUCCGGUAGGGUAUUUCGCCUUGCCGGGGAGCUUCCCGGAAACGAAAGUCUUUCGGUUCCUGGGGUAGUAUGGUUGCAAAGCUGAAACUUAAAGAAAUUGACGGAAGGGCACCACAAGGCGUGGAGCUUGCGGCUUAAUUUGACUCAACACGGGAAAACUCACCCGGCCCGGACACCGUUAGGAUUGACAGAUUGAAAGCUCUUUCUCGAUUUGGUGGUUGGUGGUGCAUGGCCGUUCUUAGUUGGUGGAGCGAUUUGUCUGGUUUAUUCCGAUAACGAGCGAGACUCUAGCCUGCUAAAUAGUGUGUGGAUUUUCAAGUCCUUACUACUUCUUAGAGGGAUAAGCGGUGGAGAGCCGCACGAGAUUGAGCGAUAACAGGUCUGUGAUGCCCUUAGAUGUCCGGGGCUGCACGCGUGCUACACUGGAGGGAUCAGCGUGUUUUACCAUUGCCGAAAGGUAUUGGCAAACCGUUGAAACCCCUCCGUGACCGGGAUAGGGAAUUGUAAUUAUUUCCCUUGAACGAGGAAUGCCUAGUAAGUGUGAGUCAUCAGCUCACGUUGAUUACGUCCCUGCCCUUUGUACACACCGCCCGUCGCUAUCCGGGACUGAACUGUUUCGAGAAGAGUGGGGACUGCCGCGUCGGGGCCUCACGGCUCUGGCGUGAUGGGAACCAUUUUAAUCGCAAUGGUUUGAACCGGGUAAAAGUCGUAACAAGGUAGCU
Molecule: ribosomal RNA, 1703 nt
Filed under: Caenorhabditis sonorae
Lineage: Eukaryota; Metazoa; Nematoda; Chromadorea; Rhabditida; Rhabditidae
Description: SSU rRNA
Rfam family: Eukaryotic small subunit ribosomal RNA
Source: RNAcentral